Molecule: transfer RNA, 62 nt
Filed under: Panthalis oerstedi
Lineage: Eukaryota; Metazoa; Annelida; Polychaeta; Phyllodocida; Acoetidae
Description: tRNA-His
Source: RNAcentral
GCUACGAUAGUUUAUAAAAUACUGGGUUGUGGUCUCAGAGAUGCACUCAUAUGCUCGUAACA